RNAcentral lists this ribosomal RNA (497 nucleotides) under uncultured bacterium. RNAcentral describes it as "partial 16S ribosomal RNA". It matches the Rfam family "Bacterial small subunit ribosomal RNA", at positions 28 to 507 of the family's 1533-position model. The record is from RNAcentral.
GAUGAACGCUGGCGGCGUGCCUAAUACAUGCAAGUCGAGCGAACAGACGAGGAGCUUGCUCCUCUGACGUUAGCGGCGGACGGGUGAGUAACACGUGGAUAACCUACCUAUAAGACUGGGAUAACUUCGGGAAACCGGAGCUAAUACCGGAUAAUAUAUUGAACCGCAUGGUUCAAUAGUGAAAGACGGCUUUGCUGUCACUUAUAGAUGGAUCCGCGCCGCAUUAGCUAGUUGGUAAGGUAACGGCUUACCAAGGCAACGAUGCGUAGCCGACCUGAGAGGGUGAUCGGCCACACUGGAACUGAGACACGGUCCAGACUCCUACGGGAGGCAGCAGUAGGGAAUCUUCCGCAAUGGGCGAAAGCUUGACGGAGCAACGCCGCGUGAGUGAAGAAGGUCUUCGGAUCGUAAAACUCUGUUAUUAGGGAAGAACAAAUGUGUAAGUAACUAUGCACGUCUUGACGGUACCUAAUCAGAAAGCCACGGCUAACUACGUG